This 473-nucleotide RNase P RNA is filed under the name Bacteroidota bacterium. RNAcentral describes it as "RNase P RNA component class A". It matches the Rfam family "Bacterial RNase P class A". Rfam says of the family: Ribonuclease P (RNase P) is a ubiquitous endoribonuclease, found in archaea, bacteria and eukarya as well as chloroplasts and mitochondria. Its best characterised activity is the generation of mature 5'-ends of tRNAs by cleaving the 5'-leader elements of precursor-tRNAs. The record is from RNAcentral. Lineage: Bacteria; Pseudomonadati; Bacteroidota.
UAUGGUCAGCCAGGCAAUCGCUGUAAUUCAUUCACGAAUUAUGGAGGAAAGUCCGAACUCUUUCCCAAGACAUCGGUGAUGUUUUGGGAUGGGCACAGUGCCGGAUAACAUCCGGGGCGAGCAAUCGUACGGAAAGUGUCACAGAAAAUAUACCGUCCCGAUGCAAAUCGGGAUAAGGGUGAAAAGGUGCGGUAUGCAAGUAAGCAUACAUAAUGUAAGAGCGCACCGCAAUGGUAGUAAUAUCAUUGGUCCUAACAAGGAUGGCGUUUUUAACGUCACACGACAAACCCCACUGAGAGCAAGACCGCGUAAGUUUCGUUUUCCGUUUACGGAAAGAGAGAAGCCCGCUCAAUUCUUUAUUGAGACGAAACGGGUAGGUCGCAACAAGAAUGCAGUAAUGCAUUCUGCAGAUAAAUGAUUGCCUCCCCUGCUUGCAGGGAAGACAAAAUUCGGCUUAUCGGCAGCCAUACACU